Molecule: ribosomal RNA, 275 nt
Filed under: uncultured bacterium
Lineage: Bacteria
Description: partial 16S ribosomal RNA
Rfam family: Bacterial small subunit ribosomal RNA
Source: RNAcentral
CUAAGUUUGAUGGCGACCGGCGCACGGGUGAGUAACACGUAUCCAACCUGCCGAUGACUCGGGGAUAGCCUUUCGAAAGAAAGAUUAAUACCCGAUGGCAUAGUUCUUCCGCAUGGUAGAACUAUUAAAGAAUUUCGGUCAUCGAUGGGGGUGCGUUCCAUUAGGUUGUUGGCGGGGUAACGGCCCACCAAGCCUUCGAUGGAUAGGGGUUCUGAGAGGAAGGUCCCCCACAUUGGAACUGAGACACGGUCCAAACUCCUACGGGAGGCAGCAUG